GGAAGGAUCAUUACCGUACAAUGAGGGAGGCCCGAGGGCUGUCGCUGACCCCCCUCCUUUCUGAGGGGUCGUGCACGCCCGAGGUGUCAUCCUCACACAAUCAAUCCAUCUCACCUUUUGUGCAUCACCGGCGUGGACCUCGAAAGGGGCCUGCGCCUUUUUACACACAGACAUCCCUUUAUGAUUCAGUGUAGAAUGUAUUUGCCUUUGUAUGCAAUCAAUACAACUUUCAACAACGGAUCUCUUGGCUCUCGCAUCGAUGAAGAACGCAGCGAAAUGCGAUACGUAAUGUGAAUUGCAGAAUUCAGUGAAUCAUCGAAUCUUUGAACGCACCUUGUGCCCCUUGGCAUUCCGAGGGGCACACCCGUUUGAGUGUCGUGAAAUCCUCAACCCUUACUCCAUUUUUUUUUAUGGGAAAAGGGUUUGGAAUUUGGAGGCUUAUGCUGGCCCCUUCUUUUUGAAGCCAGCUCCUCUUAAAUGCAUUAGCAGGGUCUCCUUAGCUGGAUCCCUUGACGUGAUAAGUCUUUACGUCCUGGGGGCUUCUCAGCUCCUUAACCUGCUUCCAAUCGUCUCAUCUGAGACUCUAAAGAUUAUUAGAUCGAA
This 603-nucleotide ribosomal RNA is filed under the name uncultured fungus. Its description in RNAcentral is "eukaryotic LSU rRNA". The stretch from base 225 to 378 matches the Rfam family "5.8S ribosomal RNA". The record is from RNAcentral. Lineage: Eukaryota; Fungi.